UGCAGUCCGACAUUGACGCUGUUUCUAACUGGUGCGACAAGUGGCUCAUGAAAUUAAACAUCAUGACUGGAACCACCUUCCUGCCUCCAUUGCUGCAAUCGAAGAAUCUGCCGCCUUCAAAAUUGCAGUUAUUGAUAUAUUGUUGUCAGACCACUCCUCUCUGUAAUGCCCUCGGGCCCUGAGAGUAUGAAAAUAAAUAAAUAAAUAA
This is a long non-coding RNA of Rhipicephalus microplus (southern cattle tick), 208 nucleotides long. The record is from RefSeq and is a predicted model, not a curated record. NCBI's taxonomy places the organism in Eukaryota, Metazoa, Arthropoda, Arachnida, Ixodida, Ixodidae.